GACGAACGCUGGCGGCGUGCUUAACACAUGCAAGUCGAACGGAAAGGCCCUGCUUUUGUGGGGUGCUCGAGUGGCGAACGGGUGAGUAACACGUGAGUAACCUGCCCUUGACUUUGGGAUAACUUCAGGAAACUGGGGCUAAUACCGGAUAGGAGCUCCUGCUGCAUGGUGGGGGUUGGAAAGUUUCGGCGGUUGGGGAUGGACUCGCGGCUUAUCAGCUUGUUGGUGGGGUAGUGGCUUACCAAGGCUUUGACGGGUAGCCGGCCUGAGAGGGUGGCCGGCCACAUUGGGACUGAGAUACGGCCCAGACUCCUACGGGAGGCAGCAGUGGGGAAUAUUGCACAAUGGGCGGAAGCCUGAUGCAGCAACGCCGCGUGCGGGAUGACGGCCUUCGGGUUGUAAACCGCUUUCGCCUGUGACGAAGCGUGAGUGACGGUAAUGGGUAAAGAAGCACCGGCUAACUACGUGCCAGCAGCCGCGGUGAUACGUAGGGUGCGAGCGUUGUCCGGAUUUAUUGGGCGUAAAGGGCUCGUAGGUGGUUGAUCGCGUCGGAAGUGUAAUCUUGGGGCUUAACCCUGAGCGUGCUUUCGAUACGGGUUGACUUGAGGAAGGUAGGGGAGAAUGGAAUUCCUGGUGGAGCGGUGGAAUGCGCAGAUAUCAGGAGGAACACCAGUGGCGAAGGCGGUUCUCUGGGCCUUUCCUGACGCUGAGGAGCGAAAGCGUGGGGAGCGAACAGGCUUAGAUACCCUGGUAGUCCACGCUGUAAACGGUGGGUACUAGGUGUGGGGUCCAUUCCACGGGUUCCGUGCCGUAGCUAACGCUUUAAGUACCCCGCCUGGGGAGUACGGCCGCAAGGCUAAAACUCAAAGGAAUUGACGGGGCCCCGCACAAGCGGCGGAGCAUGCGGAUUAAUUCGAUGCAACGCGUAGAACCUUACCUGGGUUUGACAUGGAUCGGGAGCGCUCAGUGAUGGGUGUGCCUCUUUUGGGGUCGGUUCACAGGUGGUGCAUGGCUGUCGUCAGCUCGUGUCGUGAGAUGUUGGGUUAAGUCCCGCAACGAGCGCAACCCUUGUUCACUGUUGCCAGCACGUUAUGGUGGGGACUCAGUGGAGACCGCCGGGGUCAACUCGGAGGGAGGUGGGGAUGACGUCAAGUCAUCAUGCCCCUUAUGUCCAGGGCUUCACGCAUGCUACAAUGGCUGGUACAGAGAGUGGCGAGCCUGUGAGGGUGAGCGAAUCUCGGAAAGCCGGUCUCAGUUCGGAUUGGGGUCUGCAACUCGACCUCAUGAAGUCGGAGUCGCUAGUAAUCGCAGAUCAGCAACGCUGCGGUGAAUACGUUCCCGGGGCU
Molecule: ribosomal RNA, 1346 nt
Filed under: uncultured bacterium
Lineage: Bacteria
Description: bacterial SSU rRNA
Rfam family: Bacterial small subunit ribosomal RNA
Source: RNAcentral